This 300-nucleotide ribosomal RNA is filed under the name uncultured Lactobacillus sp. Its description in RNAcentral is "bacterial SSU rRNA". It matches the Rfam family "Bacterial small subunit ribosomal RNA", at positions 496 to 795 of the family's 1533-position model. The record is from RNAcentral. Lineage: Bacteria; Bacillati; Bacillota; Bacilli; Lactobacillales; Lactobacillaceae.
GUGAACGGAGGGCCAGCGGGAGCGGAAGUACAGGGAGUGCAAGCGGUAUGCGGAAUGACUGGGCGGAAGUCGGACGGAGGUGUCUUGGUAAGUUGGAGGUGAAAUCCCCGGGCUUAACUAGGGAAUUGCAUUCAAUACUGCCUGGCUAGAGUGUGGAAGAGGGAGGCGGAAUUCCAGGUGUAGCGGUGAAAUGCGUAGAUAUCUGGAGGAACAUCAGUGGCGAAGGCGGCUUCCUGGUCCAACACUGACACUGAGGUGCGAAAGCGUGGGGAGCAAACAGGAUUAGAUACCCGAGUAGUC